CGUAAAUGCGCCACCCACCUUGAGAUAUAAGUUGUAAGGUCUCAGUAUAGUUACAACGGCUACCCCACCCUUCAAACCGAAACGCAUUACUGCUUCACGGCAGAAACAGGUAGGGUGGUGGUACCUACCCAUGCGGACUCACAAGAGGUCCUACCAGGUGUCGUUAUUUACAUUUUUUUCUGUAAUGAUGGGAGAUCAAAAAUGGUUUUUCAACAUUCAAAAGCCCAAUUGUUAAAAGGAAAACGGUUGACAAUCAGACGAGAAAAAACAGGUCACUUUUAUCUUAGUCUUUUUUUUAUAUUUUUCUAAUGGAGGAUUUGAGGUUAGUUAGCAAAUGAUUAUCUGUGGUGAUCGUAGGUAUUAAGCAAAUACUUGAACAUAUCUUUAUAUUAUAUAUGGACAAAAAUCAAGCUUAAUUUUAUAUAGCCAGCCUAUGAAACCCAUUUAAAAUGUAUCAUUUAUUGAAUGAUACAAGGAAAACUGACAGUAUUAUCCAACUUACUACUACUAAAGCCACAGAAAUCUACUGCUGAACAUAGGCAUCCCCCAAGCCUCGCCUCUAUCCAUCAUUGCUUGUAAAUUAUAUAACACAAAGUACAACAA
Long non-coding RNA from Bombyx mori (domestic silkworm), 603 nucleotides. RefSeq lists it as uncharacterized. Lineage: Eukaryota; Metazoa; Arthropoda; Insecta; Lepidoptera; Bombycidae. The transcript has 2 exons. The record is from RefSeq and is a predicted model, not a curated record.